Anguilla anguilla (European eel) is the source of this 1136-nucleotide long non-coding RNA. RefSeq lists it as uncharacterized. The transcript is spliced from 3 exons. Lineage: Eukaryota; Metazoa; Chordata; Actinopteri; Anguilliformes; Anguillidae. The record is from RefSeq and is a predicted model, not a curated record.
CGUGUGUUGCUUCACCUGCUUGGGGAAAGUGAAGGGGCUGCAACGGCAAUCCAAACAAUUAAACGCUCGAGUUUGUUCCACGGACCUUUGAAACUGCGCUAGCCAAAGCAGAGCAUUAUAUGGCUUCUUAAGCAGUGGCACAGGUGGCUGACAGGCUUGACUGCUGGAACCUAUCUGGCCAGCAGGUAUUACGCAGAGGAGGAGAAGAAAAAAGAAAAGAGGAAGAAGAAAAAGAAGGAAAGAAGACAUGAAUGUGUGACAGGACACAAACAUAUUUUGCAGUUUAGCUGCAUUUCUCCAGUCUAAUGGAACAGGGUGUUUUUGCCCUAACAGGCUCCAGAGCUCUCAGUAUAACUGUGUGGCUGCAGAGUAGCCCUGGGUUAGGGUGUGUGACUGCAGAGUCAGCCUGGGUUAGGGUGUGUGGCUGCAGAGUAAGCCUGGGUUAGGGUGUGUGGCUGCAGAGUAAGCCUGGGUUAGGGUGUGUAGCUGCAGAGUAAGCCUGGGUUAGGGUGUGUGACUGCAGAGUCAGCCUGGGUUAGGGUGUGUGGCUGCAGAGUAAGCCUGGGUUAGGGUGUGUAGCUGCAGUGUAAGCCUGGGUUAGGGUGUGUGGCUGCAGAGUAACGCUGGGUUAGGGUGUGUGGCUGCAGAGUAACGCUGGGUUAGGGUGUGUGGCUGCAGAGUAACGCUGGGUUAGGGUGUGUGGCUGCAGAGUAACCCUGGGUUACGGUUAGGGUACCCCGAACAGCACAGCCCCAAGGAACGGCACACCCACCACGUCUGAAAACAUUCGAAAUUAACCCUCACAUUCACCUGGAAACACCCUCUCGUGGGCAAAUGCAGCUCACAUUAAGACGAAACGUAAAAAAGAAAAGGUGUUUGAUAUCUUAUUGUCUGACAAACGCUCAGUUUUAACUUUGCUGCUCUGUGAUUGGCCCAAAGACUGUAUUAGUGACACAGUGGCUGGUCGUUGCUCCGUGAUUGGCCAGAGGACUGUAAUAUACGUGUGACACAGUGGCCGGAUGCUGUUCUCUGAUUGGCCAGAGGACCGCAUUAAAUGCGUUUGUCUCCUGUUGUUUCCAGACAUGCAUUGAUUUAGUUUUUAUUCCCACACAUUACAUGCUGUGUGUGUUUAAAAA